Long non-coding RNA from Myotis daubentonii (Daubenton's bat), 939 nucleotides. RefSeq lists it as uncharacterized. Lineage: Eukaryota; Metazoa; Chordata; Mammalia; Chiroptera; Vespertilionidae. The record is from RefSeq and is a predicted model, not a curated record.
GGGGAGGCCCUGGUCCACAGGGAGGUUGCGGGCCGGCCGCUUCUAGGAGCGAGAACAGCCUUGCCCGGGCCAGGGCAGGGCCCCCGUGGAGACCCUGUGUCUGGCUCCGUGAGACCCCUUCCCGCCUCUGCUGCCACCUCAGAACAGACAAAUCAUGAAUGAGCAGGAUGUUGAAUGAGCUACAGUGGUCGGCAAACUCAUUAGUCAACAGAGCCAAAUAUCAACAGGACAACGAUUGAAAUUUCUUUUGAGAGACAAACUUUUUAAACUUAAACUAUAUAGGUAGGUACAUUGUUAUUAACUUAAUUAGGGUACUCCUAAGGCUUAGGAAGAGCCACACUCGAGGGGCCAAAGAGCCGCAUGUGGCUCGCGAGCCGCAGUUUGCCGACCACAGAGCUAGAAUGUUGCGAGAGCAUAGUAAGCGCCUACCUGGAUAUGGAAGUACACGUAUCGCGAGCUUUCCCAGCGGGCAGCAGCCUGGUGCAGGGCCUGGGCAGCUACCCGCGGCCAAAGGGGGGCCCUACGGGUGGAGAAGGCACUUAGCAUGAGCCUUGGCUGGGUGAGCGUCACCUGCUGAGCGGCUGCCGGGGCUGGACGGGCCUCCUGCUGUCCCCCAUCCUGAGGCGGGUGCAGGCACAGGGCCAGCAGAAGGGGGCCCCUUUGCACGGGCAGCUCACCACCCUGGCCCUGGGAGCUCUGCUUCACAUAACACAGGGCCGAAAACACCUGGUUUUCAUGGCAAAGCCCCACCCCAGAGCCCCUUUAACAUGUUAAUUAAGUGCAAUAAAUUAUUCUAGAAAAUGGGAAAAAAAAAGUUUGAAAGCAUGGACCCCAACACCAAAAGGUUUUCAUUGAAAGAGAGGAAUGUUCAUGGAGCAUUAAAUGCUUGCAACAUAAUCUAUGAUUCAAAAAAGAAAUAAAUUGCCCUAGAGGUGCUCA